RNAcentral lists this ribosomal RNA (253 nucleotides) under uncultured bacterium. Its description in RNAcentral is "partial 16S ribosomal RNA". It matches the Rfam family "Bacterial small subunit ribosomal RNA", at positions 524 to 776 of the family's 1533-position model. The record is from RNAcentral.
UACGGAGGGGGCUAGCGUUGUUCGGAAUUACUGGGCGUAAAGCGCACGUAGGCGGCUUUGUAAGUUAGAGGUGAAAGCCCGGGGCUCAACUCCGGAAUUGCCUUUAAGACUGCAUCGCUAGAAUUGUGGAGAGGUAAGUGGAAUUCCGAGUGUAGAGGUGAAAUUCGUAGAUAUUCGGAAGAACACCAGUGGCGAAGGCGACUUACUGGACACAUAUUGACGCUGAGGUGCGAAAGUGUGGGGAGCAAACAGG